This 566-nucleotide ribosomal RNA is filed under the name uncultured Acidobacteriota bacterium. RNAcentral's name for it is "bacterial SSU rRNA". It matches the Rfam family "Bacterial small subunit ribosomal RNA", at positions 10 to 608 of the family's 1533-position model. Lineage: Bacteria; Pseudomonadati; Acidobacteriota. The record is from RNAcentral.
AGUUUGAUCCUGGCUCAGAAUCAACGCUGGCGGCGUGCCUAACACAUGCAGGUCGAACGAGAAAGGGACUUCGGUCCUGAGUAUAGUGGCGCACGGGUGAGUAACACGUGAAUAAUCUACCUCCGAGUGGGGAAUAACCUGGAGAAAUCUAGGCUAAUACCGCAUAACACUUACGAGUCAAAGCAGCAAUGCGCUUGGAGAGGAGUUCGCGGCAGAUUAGUUAGUUGGCGGGGUAAUGGCCCACCAAGACGAUGAUCUGUAUCCGGCCUGAGAGGGCGCACGGACACACUGGAACUGAAACACGGUCCAGACUCCUACGGGAGGCAGCAGUGGGGAAUUUUGCGCAAUGGGGGAAACCCUGACGCAGCAACGCCGCGUGGAGGAUGAAGUAUCUUGGUACGUAAACUCCUUUCGAUGGGGAAGAUAAUGACGGUACCCAUAGAAGAAGCCCCGGCUAACUUCGUGCCAGCAGCCGCGGUAAUACGAGGGGGGCAAGCGUUGUUCGGAUUUUAUUGGGCGUAAAGGGUGCGUAGGCGGUUUGGCAAGUCUUAUGUGAAUCUAUGGGC